This 368-nucleotide ribosomal RNA is filed under the name uncultured organism. RNAcentral's name for it is "bacterial SSU rRNA". It matches the Rfam family "Bacterial small subunit ribosomal RNA", at positions 526 to 896 of the family's 1533-position model. The record is from RNAcentral.
CGGAGGAUCCAAGCGUUAUCCGGAUUCAUUGGGUUUAAAGGGUGCGUAGGCGGAAUGAUAAGUCAGUGGUGAAAUCCCUUCGCUUAACGAAGGAACUGCCAUUGAUACUGUCAAUCUUGAGUACAUUUGAUGUGGGCGGAAUGUGUCAUGUAGCGGUGAAAUGCUUAGAUAUGACACAGAACACCGAUUGCGAAGGCAGCUCACAAAACUGUAACUGACGCUGAGGCACGAAAGCGUGGGUAUCAAACAGGAUUAGAUACCCUGGUAGUCCACGCUGUAAACUAUGAUUACUCGAUGUUUGCGAUACACUGUAAGCGUCUAAGCGAAAGCGAUAAGUAAUCCACCUGGGGAGUACGCUCGCAAGAGUG